This 440-nucleotide ribosomal RNA is filed under the name uncultured Acidimicrobiales bacterium. RNAcentral's name for it is "bacterial SSU rRNA". It matches the Rfam family "Bacterial small subunit ribosomal RNA", at positions 61 to 527 of the family's 1533-position model. The record is from RNAcentral. Lineage: Bacteria; Bacillati; Actinomycetota; Acidimicrobiia; Acidimicrobiales.
GUCGACCUUCGGGUCAUAUGACUGAGUGGCGAACGGGUGAGUAACACGUGAGAAACCUGCCCCGAAGACUGGAAUAACCCGAGGAAACUCGGGCUAAUACCGGAUGUCCCCAGAUGGCCGCAUGGCCGACUGAGGAAAUGCUCCGGCGCUUUGGGAGGGUCUCGCGGCCUAUCAGCUUGUUGGUGAGGUAACGGCUCACCAAGGCUUCGACGGGUAGCUGGUCUGAGAGGACGAUCAGCCACACUGGGACUGAGAUACGGCCCAGACUCCUACGGGAGGCAGCAGUAGGGAAUCUUGCGCAAUGGGCGAAAGCCUGACGCAGCCACGCCGCGUGAGUGAUGAAGGCCUUCGGGUCGUAAAGCUCUUUCAGCAGGGACGAAAAUGACGGUACCUGCAGAAGAAGCCCCGGCCAACUACGUGCCAGCAGCCGCGGUAACACG